Long non-coding RNA from Cynara cardunculus var. scolymus (artichoke), 695 nucleotides. RefSeq lists it as uncharacterized. Lineage: Eukaryota; Viridiplantae; Streptophyta; Magnoliopsida; Asterales; Asteraceae. The record is from RefSeq and is a predicted model, not a curated record. The transcript is spliced from 3 exons.
AUAAACGAAGAGUCAAUUAAGACACUGUAAGCCGGCACGGCAGCACCGUCAUCGGACGCCGGAGAGAGUUUGUGAGCGGUUAACAUCUACGGCGACGACGAGCUUCAUACCUUUGCAUCAUUGCCUUUAAUUCCUAGGCUCAUCUGUAAGGCGGUCUCUACAAGAACGAAAGAGAUUAUUGAGCACAAGUGAUACAGUGAUGUUCUAUGAACUAGCAGCAACAAUAAGACAAGUUCAUGGGAAUGGCGCAACUUAGUUUAACAACAUGCAAACGCAAGCUUAUCAGAGUUUUUUUGGAUCCAAGCUAUGACCGUUGUUGUAUGGUUUUUUGUCAUGGUUGCCACGUUAAUAACCAAAUACAAAAGGCGGAGUUAUGCUUUACUUGAGGGAAUCCAUAAUGCAGCUAUCGAGCUUGGGGACAGCCUUAUUCGAGCAUCGACAACAAUGGUUCAAGCUGAAGUGGAUCUACAAAAGAAAACUUCCAUGGUCUAUUCUGAAAUUUUAAAAAUGCGUUCACUUUCGGAAGAUAGCACAUGAGCCAUCCGACGUGUUAACGUUUUGGGCCUUGGCGGAAAAGAGGCGAGAGAAUUGGGUGCGGUUUAUGUUAGAACAAUGAUCGGUUAUGAAAGAUGUGUGUAGACGAUGUUUUUGGGUUAUUAGUAAAGGAUGCAAUAUAUAAUCAAACAAUAUUUUUG